This 254-nucleotide ribosomal RNA is filed under the name uncultured bacterium. Its description in RNAcentral is "partial 16S ribosomal RNA". It matches the Rfam family "Bacterial small subunit ribosomal RNA", at positions 524 to 776 of the family's 1533-position model. The record is from RNAcentral.
UACGUAGGGGGCAAGCGUUGUCCGGAUUUAUUGGGCGUAAAGAGCGUGUAGGCGGCCAUACAGGUCAGCUGUGGAAAACUCGAGGCUCAACCUCGAGACGUCGGUUGAAACCGUAUGGCUAGAGUCCGGAAGAGGAGAGUGGAAUUCCCGGUGUAGCGGUGAAAUGCGCAGAUAUCGGGAAGAACACCCGUGGCGAAGGCGGCUCUCUGGGACGGUACUGACGCUGAGACGCGAAAGCGUGGGGAGCGAACAGG